RNAcentral lists this ribosomal RNA (465 nucleotides) under Vreelandella stevensii. RNAcentral describes it as "partial 16S ribosomal RNA". It matches the Rfam family "Bacterial small subunit ribosomal RNA", at positions 338 to 795 of the family's 1533-position model. Lineage: Bacteria; Pseudomonadati; Pseudomonadota; Gammaproteobacteria; Oceanospirillales; Halomonadaceae. The record is from RNAcentral.
CCUACGGGUGGCUGCAGUGGGGAAUAUUGGACAAUGGGGGGAACCCUGAUCCAGCCAUGCCGCGUGUGUGAAGAAGGCCCUCGGGUUGUAAAGCACUUUCAGUGAGGAAGAACGCCUGGUGGUUAAUACCCAUCAGGAAAGACAUCACUCACAGAAGAAGCACCGGCUAACUCCGUGCCAGCAGCCGCGGUAAUACGGAGGGUGCGAGCGUUAAUCGGAAUUACUGGGCGUAAAGCGCGCGUAGGUGGCUUGAUAAGCCGGUUGUGAAAGCCCCGGGCUCAACCUGGGAACGGCAUCCGGAACUGGCAAGCUAGAGUGCGGGAGAGGAGGGUAGAAGGCCCGGUGGAGCGGUGAAAUGCGGAGAGAUCGGGAGGAAUACCAGUGGCGAAGGCGGCCGUCUGGACUGACACUGACACUGAGGUGCGAAAGCGUGGGUAGCAAACAGGAUUAGAUACCCUGGUAGUC